CUGUCAGACUUGAGUACACGCAGCGCAGGCGGAAUUCAUGGUGUAGCGGUGAAAUGCUUAGAUAUCAUGAGGAACUCCGAUCGCGAAGGCAGCCUGCGGGAGUGUUACUGACGCUUAAGCUCGAAGGUGCGGGUAUCGAACAGGAUUAGAUACCCUGGUAGUCCGCACAGUAAACGAUGGAUGCCCGCCGUUGGCGCCCUGCGCCUGCGGCCAAGCGAAAGCAUUAAGCAUCCCACCUGGGGAGUACGCCGGCAACGGUGAAACUCAAAGGAAUUGACGGGGGCCCGCACAAGCGGAGGAACAUGUGGUUUAAUUCGAUGAUACGCGAGGAACCUUACCCGGGCUUGAAUUGCAGUCGCUGCCCACAGAGACGUGGGCUUCCCUUCGGGGCGUCUGUGAAGGUGCUGCAUGGUUGUCGUCAGCUCGUGCCGUGAGGUGUCGGCUUAAGUGCCAUAACGAGCGCAACCCCCUUUCCCAGUUGCCAUCGGGUUAUGCCGGGCACUCUGGGGACACUGCCACCGCAAGGUGCGAGGAAGGUGGGGAUGACGUCAAAUCAGCACGGCCCUUACGUCCGGGGCUACACACGUGUUACAAUGGCCGGUACAGAGGGACGGUGCAAUGCAAGUUGCAUCCAAUCUUGAAAUCCGGUCCCAGUUCGGACUGGGGUCUGCAACCCGACCCCACGAAGCUGGAUUCGCUAGUAAUCGCGCAUCAGCCAUGGCGCGGUGAAUACGUUCCCGGGCCUUGUACACACCGCCCGUCAAGCCAUGAA
RNAcentral lists this ribosomal RNA (772 nucleotides) under Prevotella nigrescens. RNAcentral describes it as "bacterial SSU rRNA". It matches the Rfam family "Bacterial small subunit ribosomal RNA", at positions 633 to 1408 of the family's 1533-position model. The record is from RNAcentral. Lineage: Bacteria; Pseudomonadati; Bacteroidota; Bacteroidia; Bacteroidales; Prevotellaceae.